Alligator sinensis (Chinese alligator) is the source of this 841-nucleotide long non-coding RNA. RefSeq lists it as uncharacterized. The transcript is spliced from 4 exons. The record is from RefSeq and is a predicted model, not a curated record. NCBI's taxonomy places the organism in Eukaryota, Metazoa, Chordata, Crocodylia, Alligatoridae.
GCUGGACCCAAUGAUCUUCUGAGAUCCCUUCCGGACUUACAAUCUAUGAAUCUAAGAAAAGGUGAAAGUGAAAAAAGGAAAUCUAAUAAAAUGUGCCGGUGGUCUGCAGUUUGCCGGGCCGGCUGCUUCUGGUCCGCAGUGUGCCCCUCCGCCCAGACUCAGGAGGCACCAGUCACACCUGGAUCAGCCUUCCACCCACCUCCAUCCAUCUAUCCAUCCAUCCACCUCGUUGCAGCCAGACCAUCACCCACCCACAGACACCGAGACCCCAACAGGCACCUCCAUGGACCAUGGCUGACCUCGGACCAUCUACCCCCAACAGCCAAAUGUGGGGACACAGUGGCAUUUUGAGGAAAUAAAGGAUCUCAUCACUAUUUGGGAGGAGCUUCAAGAAGAAGUAUUUUGCUUGCAGAUGCCCAUUGACUUGGCUGAGUCCAGGGAAAGGAUGACCUGUCCAGUGGUUUUGGAGAUGUUCUGCAACAGAAGAUGAAUAAAAAUGAGGAGUAUAUCUGUGCCUGUGUUUGUAACAACUGCAUGAUGCAUUGGGGAAAAAAUAAGGUGAUCUACACAUGAAAAUGAAUGGUGAAGGUGCAUAGUGAAAUCCUGGGUUCCUUGAUGUCAAUGGCAUCUCUUUGACUUCAGUGAGACUGGGAUUCUUCCAAUGGAUGUAAUUGGAACUUGGUGGGAUAAUUCCCAAAAGGCAAGGAUAAUGAGCAGUAUCAGUACUUUGGUUUCUCUUUACAAGUACUGUCUCAAAAUUAACUAAUAUUUAAAGCCUCACAAAUGAGGUAGGGAAACAUUAUAAUGGCUGAAUGAGCUCUAACAGGGGAACAUCUUCUAC